GACGAACGCUGGCGGCGUGCUUAACACAUGCAAGUCGAACGGAAAGGCCCUGCUUGCAGGGUACUCGAGUGGCGAACGGGUGAGUAACACGUGGGUGAUCUGCCCUGCACUUCGGGAUAAGCCUGGGAAACUGGGUCUAAUACCGGAUAGGAGCCAUUUUUAGUGUGAUGGUUGGAAAGUUUUUUUCGGUGUAGGAUGAGCUCGCGGCCUAUCAGCUUGUUGGUGGGGUAAUGGCCUACCAAGGCGGCGACGGGUAGCCGGCCUGAGAGGGUGGACGGCCACAUUGGGACUGAGAUACGGCCCAGACUCCUACGGGAGGCAGCAGUGGGGAAUAUUGCACGAUGGGCGCAAGCCUGAUGCAGCGACGCCGCGUGGGGGAUGACGGCCUUCGGGUUGUAAACUCCUUUCGCUAGGGACGAAGCUUUUUGUGACGGUACCUAGAUAAGAAGCACCGGCUAACUACGUG
RNAcentral lists this ribosomal RNA (466 nucleotides) under uncultured bacterium. RNAcentral's name for it is "partial 16S ribosomal RNA". It matches the Rfam family "Bacterial small subunit ribosomal RNA", at positions 28 to 507 of the family's 1533-position model. The record is from RNAcentral.